GGUGGUGCCAGCAUGACGUUUUUCAGAGUCCACACAGAACAGUCUUGGUAGCUGUGACCAGAACAAGAGAGGAGUGAGGUCAAGAGAAUCCGAAUUAGCACAGGCUAUCUGGCAAAAGGAAUGAGUAACCGAAAAAAUUUGGAAGGAUUCUGGGCCCAAAUUUUUUCAGAUGUAUCUUUUAAAAUGCCAAUUCUAGGGGCUAGGAAUGUAGCUCAAUAUAAGAAUGCUUGCUUAGGACCGAGAUUCAUUCCCCAGCAAAGAAAAAAAAAUUUUGAGAAAUAUUUACCACUAAGUGCAGUUUAUGCCAGAAUGAUGGCAGAAAACACUGAUCAGCAAACGAACCAAAAGCAAAGACCUUGAUCUUAUAAUGAAGAUACUUAAGUAAAAAGACUCAUAUUUUAAAUUGGCAUAGAAUGUUUUUAGGUUGUAUAUAUCUUUACAUAAUCCCUUUUUAACUAAGAUGUUAUGUGUACACAUGGAUUUGAACCCAGGGCCUCAUGCAUGCUCAACACAUGUUCUACCACCAAGCUACUCCAGCCCCUUAACUGACUUUUUAAAACUAACUGACCUACCAACUAACCUACCUUCCUUAAUAAUGUCAGAUAAUAGAGUUUCUUUAUUCUUUAUAAAAGAUUAAUCUUUAUGGCUCUUUCAUUACACCUUUAUCUAUAUUUCACAUACCAAAAAAUCAACCCUAUCAAAGUAUAUACUUCAUAAAGGUGUACAACAUCACCACCACUACUUAAUUCCAUAAUAUUUUUAUCCCCCCAAAAAGAGACCCUGUAUACAUUAGCAGUCACUCCCAUAUCCUCCUCCCCUAAGCCCUGGCAAUCACUUAUCAACUUUCUGACUCUAUGGAUUCGCCUAAAAUAUCUACCUUUUAGCUGUUAUCAAUAAUGCUGUGUAAACAUUUGUGUAUAAGUUUUUGUCUAGACAUAUCUUUUCAGUUCUUCUAGGUAAAUCCUUAGGAGUAGAAUACAGGGUCAGAUGGUAAUUCUGCUUAACUUUUUGAGGAACUUCCAAACUGUUUUUCAUAGCAGCUAUACCUUUUUAUAUUCCUACCACAAUGUACAAGAGUUCCAGUUUCUCAAAAUUCUGGCCAGAUGCUGUGAUUUAAAACUAUCUCCCAGUGGCCCAUGUGUUAAAGACUUGAUCAUCAGCCUGUGGUGGAACCUUUAAUAGGGCUGGGUAGAAGAAAGUUAGGUCUUAUGGAUGUGUCGUUGAAGGGGAUCUUGGGAACCUAGGGAUUCCCCUCUCCCUUUCUCUCAAAUUCUCUCAAGUUCAACACACACACACACACACACACACACACAUCAUACACCCCACUUCCUGGUCUCCAUAAGGUUGGCUGUGUAGUUCCAUAACACCCUGCCAUGGUAUUCUAUUUAUUUAUUUCUUUGUUGGUUCUUUUUAGUUGUACAUGACAGUAUAAUGCAAUUUGACAUAAUUACACAAGCAUGGAAUAUAUCUUAUUCUAGUUAGAAUCCAUUCUUGUGGAAUUCACUAUGAUGUUUUCAUAUAUGUACAUAAGAAAAUUAUGUCAGAUUCCUUUUCUUGUCUCCCCUCCCUUUCCUCUAUUCCCCAUUAUCUAAUCUACUAAACUUCUCCCCCUGCCCCGCCCCCACUUAAGUGGGUUAGCCUUCACAUAUCAGAGAAAACAUUCAACCUUUGGCAUUAUGGGAUUGGCUUAUUGAUUUAGCAUGACACAGGCCCAGAAGCAAUGGAACCAAUUGACCAUGAACUGAAACAUCUGAAACCAUGAGCCAAAAUUAACCUUUUUUCUUUCUUUUUUUUUUUCAUAUUUAUUUGUUAUUUGUAGAUGGACACAAUACCUUUUUUUUUUCAUUUUUAUGUGGUACUUAGGAUCCAAACCAGGGCCUUGCAUGUGCUAGGCGAGCACUCUACCACUGAGCCACAACCCCAGCCCAAACCUUUUUUCUUUUUAAGUGUUUUAUCUUAGAUAUUUUGUCACAGAUACAGCUGCUUUAUUUCAUUUUAUUUUAUUGUAGCUAACCUGGUUGGUGUGAAGUGAUCUUUCGUGGUUUUGAUUUGUAUUUCCCUAAUGACUAUUGGUAUUGAACAUUUUUUUAUGUGCUCCUUGGUCAUUUGUAUAUCUUCUUUGAAGAAAUAUCUACUCAAAUUCAUGGCCAAUUUUUAUUGGGAUUUUCUUUUAUUGUUGAUUUAUGAAUUCUUUAUAUAAUUCUGGAUACAAAUCCCUUAUUGGAUAUGUGAUUUGCAAAUGUUUUAUCAUUCUGUGUGUAUGUGUGUGUUUCUUGAAGCACAAAAGGUUUACAUUUGCUGAAGUCCAAUUUUAUCUUCUUUUGAUGGUGCUCUUAGUGUCACAUCUAAGAAAUCAUUGCCUAAUAUAAGUUCUCAGAGAUUUACUCCUAUGUUUUCUUCUAAGAGUUUUCAGAUAGCUCAUAUAUUACAUUGAUUAUUUUAAUCUACAACUUGGAAUGAAUGGAAUUUAGUAUUAACAUUAUUUACUUUCUUACUUCCUCCUCCUAUUAUCUAGGAAACAAAGGGCACUUUCAUUCUAAGUUCAUUCACAAAUAUGAGACUGGUUACUGCCCCAUGAGGGGUGAGCAAGAGAGCUAUGAGGAUAUUCCUGGGAGCCCACUUUGAAGUAGGAGUGGUGAUAGAAACAAGCCCUAGCCAUUAGCUUCAUGUGGAGCUGGAAGAACAAAAUUUCAGCCAUUCCUUAAGAGGAAGUGUGAGAGACACACAAAAGUACUGCCAAUUUGCAAGUCCAGGCACUGAAUGGAUCUAUCUAUUCCAAGUUCUAAAGUGUGUUUCCCAGAGUUCAAGUGGAUAUGGUUUUCAUAUGCUUCUACAGUGAGUAAAUACACAUUUCAUAGUCCAGUGAAAUAAUACCUGUUAUUUUAUAAAUGUUGACACUAAUAGGUGGCAGUGAAAUAAUGACUGUAUUAUAAGUUUGCAUGAGUUUCUUUCUAAAAAUUUAUCUUGGAAUUCAUCAAUAUGCUGUGAUAAAUAUCUGUUACCCAUUUUGAACUUAAUAGACUACAUGGAAAUAUUUAAGAAUACUUUUGAGUCAUCUCAAAGUAUUAACUAUCAAAUUUAUUUAGGCAAUAACCUCUGUGGCUAUUUCAUGAGUUUGAUCACCAUACUCAUUAGGUAUUAGAUCUUCAAAGAACAGCAUUGUUAAUUAUAUUUUUAAUGAUAUAGGAAUAAGCUAUGAUUCAUUUUAGCUACUACUGAUACCUGCUAUUAGGCAAGGAGAUGCAACUAGGAAGUAAAAUUUCUAGUUGACUAUUGCAAUUAUAAACAGAUUGAUGGAGCAAAGCUAUUUUCAUAUAGGCCCAUAUUAAUCAAAAUUGUAUUGAAUAAGGGCUGGUGAUAUAGCUCAGUUGGUAGAGUGCCUGCCUUGCAUGCACAAGCCCUGAGUUCAAUCCCCAGCACCGCCAAAAAAAAAAAAAUUCUAUUGAGUAAGAAAUUCUAUAUUUAGGUGGGUUCAAAAGCAUAUAGUACCUGAUAGUUCUUCUUUUUUUAAAAAAAAAAAAAAAAAGCACCCNGAGGAUAUUCCUGGGAGCCCACUUUGAAGUAGGAGUGGUGAUAGAAACAAGCCCUAGCCAUUAGCUUCAUGUGGAGCUGGAAGAACAAAAUUUCAGCCAUUCCUUAAGAGGAAGUGUGGGAGACACACAAAAGUACUGCCAAUUUGCAAGUCCAGGCACUGAAUGGAUCUAUCUAUUCCAAGUUCUAAAGUGUGUUUCCCAGAGUUCAAGUGGAUAUGGUUUUCAUAUGCUUCUACAGUGAGUAAAUACACAUUUCAUAGUCCAGUGAAAUAAUACCUGUUAUUUUAUAAAUGUUGACACUAAUAGGUGGCAGUGAAAUAAUGACUGUAUUAUAAGUUUGCAUGAGUUUCUUUCUAAAAAUUUAUCUUGGAAUUCAUCAAUAUGCUGUGAUAAAUAUCUGUUACCCAUUUUGAACUUAAUAGACUACAUGGAAAUAUUUAAGAAUACUUUUGAGUCAUCUCAAAGUAUUAACUAUCAAAUUUAUUUAGGCAAUAACCUCUGUGGCUAUUUCAUGAGUUUGAUCACCAUACUCAUUAGGUAUUAGAUCUUCAAAGAACAGCAUUGUUAAUUAUAUUUUUAAUGAUAUAGGAAUAAGCUAUGAUUCAUUUUAGCUACUACUGAUACCUGCUAUUAGGCAAGGAGAUGCAACUAGGAAGUAAAAUUUCUAGUUGACUAUUGCAAUUAUAAACAGAUUGAUGGAGCAAAGCUAUUUUCAUAUAGGCCCAUAUUAAUCAAAAUUGUAUUGAAUAAGGGCUGGUGAUAUAGCUCAGUUGGUAGAGUGCCUGCCUUGCAUGCACAAGCCCUGAGUUCAAUCCAAAGCACCGCCAAAAAAAAAAUAAAAUUCUAUUGAGUAAGAAAUUCUAUAUUUAGGUGGGUUCAAAAGCAUAUAGUACCUGAUAGUUCUUCUUUUUUUAAAAAAAAAAAAAAAAAGCACCCUACUGACUAAGCUAUAUUCUCAGCCCUGAUCUGUAAUCUCUCUUUUUUUUUUAAUAUUUUAUUUACAUUUUAGUUUUCAGCAGACACAACAUCUUUGUAUGUGGUGCUGAGGAUCGAACCCGGGGCGCACCCAUGCCAGGCGAGUGCGCUACCACUUGAGCCACAUCCCCAGCCCCCUGAUAGUCCUUCUAAUAAAAAAUGUUAUAUGGGGUAUGGUGUUACAAUUAGUGUGUUUUUAAUACCUAGGGCUAUGCUCAUUUGGGUUUUUUUUUUUUUUAACCUAUUGAUGUUUCAAGGAGAAUCAAUAGAUUUAUUUGGAGAAAGAGGAAUUGACAGAGUUAUUUUUAACAAAAUUGCCCAGACUCAUGAAGGAGUAUGAAUGAACAACUCUGCAGAAUAAGGAAACAUCCUUAAAUGCAGCAGAUAUCUAAGGUAUUAGAAGCAGGUAGAAAUGCCUCGUUUGGGAUUGGACUGAAUCAGGAUACAACUGAGAACUAGAAACUUGGGAAUCACAGUUCAGUAAUGCUCGUUGACCGAUGAUCCAUAUCACAAAGGAAAGAACUUAGUUUGAAAUGGUUUCCUGACAAUAUCUUUCCUUAGGUUAAGUCUAUUUCAAGAAAGGGAUCUGGAUCCCUUCGAAGACCAACAGAAAUUAUUGUAAACCACCAUGUCUCAAUGCCAUUUAGAUAUGCUGUAGUAGGGUAACUUACAGUUCUAUUGCAGUUAUUAAAUUCAAAAUAUUCAAAAAUGAAAAGUAAAUCUCCUUCUCAUCCUUUUCCUGGGUCUGUUUCUGGGUUCUCUCUGAUCUUUAUCUUUUACAUUUAGAGCAACAAUCCAGCUGGAAUUGAUUGAUUUUUAUUGGUGGUGUGAGAUGGGGUCUAACUCUCCCUCCUUUCACACACACACACACACACACACACACAAACAAUUAAUCUAGUACUACAAGUGCCACAUUUACAGUAAUACUUUUGCCAUAUAUUAUGUGUCUACAUGUGGUGUCUCUGUUCUGAUCUAUUGACCUAUUAGUAUCUUCAUCAGUAUCAUACCGUCUCAAUUACUAUAGACUUGUAUAGACUUGUAUUGCCGCAGUCUGUCUGGGCACAAAAUAACCGAGCCACCACACAAGCCUUGUAGAUUCAAACAGCAACUCUUUAUUCCCGAACUC
RNAcentral lists this long non-coding RNA (5634 nucleotides) under Marmota monax (woodchuck). The stretch from base 3354 to 3425 matches the Rfam family "tRNA". Lineage: Eukaryota; Metazoa; Chordata; Mammalia; Rodentia; Sciuridae. The record is from RNAcentral.